ACUAUGUAUGGCUGAAUAUUGAAUUGUCCUUUUCUUUCCAGGAAGUAGUUGAGCAGCUCUUCUUAAGUGGCAUCUCAGAAAAGUCUUUGAGAAACACAAGAGAAAGUGAGAUCCCUACCCGCUGUGUCAUGUGCGAUGAAGAGUUUCUGCCCUUUAAAGAAAACACAUUUGAUCUGGUGGUCAGCAGCCUGAGAUCAACCAGGUCCUGAAGCCAGAUGUGGUGUUCAUGGGGGCCAUGGUGGGCACGGAGACCCUGUACAAGCUGCGCUGCUCCCUGCAGCUGACUGAGCUCGAGGGGAAGGGGGUCCCCCACGUGUCCCCCCACAUGGCCGUCACAGACCUGGGCAACCUGCUGGGCCAGGCAGGCAGGCUUCAGUAUGCUGACGGACAUUGAUGAAAUUCAAGUGCACUAUCCUGGGAUACUAGAGGUCAUGAGUGACCUGCAAGGGAGAGCAACUGCACUUGGAACAAGAAGUCCAUGUUGAACAGAGACACCAUUUUAGCUGCAGCUGCAAUCUACCAAGGGAGGAGACCAAUAAUCAGAUGGUCACUCUGACAGAGCUCCAGAGUUCCUCUGUGGAGAUGGGAGAACGUUCCAGAAGGACAACCAUCUCUGCAGCACUCCACCAAUUAGGCCUUUAUGGUAGAGUGGCCAGACGGAAGCCACUCCUCAGUAAAAGGCACAUGACAGCCUGCUUGGAGUUUUCCAAAAGCCACCUAAAGGACUCUGACCAUGAGAAACAAGUUUUUCUGGUCUGAUGAAACCAAGAUUGAACUCUUUGGCCUGAAUGUCAAGCGUCACUUCUGGAGGAAACCUGGCACCAUUCGUACGGUGAAGCAUGGUGGUGGCAGCAUCAUGCUGUGGGGAUGUUUUCAGCGGUAGGGACUGGGAUACUAGUCAGGAUCAAGGAAAGAUGAACGAAGCAAAGAACAGAGAGAUCCUUGUACACCUGCUCCAGAGUGCUCAGGAACUCAGACUGGGGCAAAGGUUCACCUUCCAACAGGACAACGACCCUAAGCACACAGCCAAGACAACACAGGAGUAGCUUCGGGACAAGUCUCUGAAUGUCAAAAUACAGAGGUGCCAAGCUUGUAGCGUCAUACCUAAAGAAGACUCGAGGUUGUAGUUCCUGCCAAAAGGUGCAUCAACAAAGUACAGAGUAAAGGGUCUGAAUUACUUAUGUAAGUGUGAUCAGUUUUAUUUUUUUAUUUAAAAAAAAUACAUUUGCAAAUAAUGUUUAAAAACCUGUUUUUGCUUUUUCUUAUCGGGUAUUGUGUGUAGAUUGAUGAGGGGAAAAAACAAUUUAAUACAUUUUAGAAUAAGGCUGUAACGUGACAAAAUGUGGAAAAAGUCAAGGGGUCUGAAUACUUUCCGAAUGCACUGUAAUGGGGCGGCAGGGUAGCCUAGUGGUUAGAGCGCUGGACUAGUAACCGGAAGGUUGCAAGUUCAAACCCCUGAGCUGACAAGGUACAAAACUGUCGUUCUGCCCCUGAACAGGCAGUUAACCCACUGUUCCUAGGCCGUCAUUGAAAAUAAGAAUUUGUUCUUAACUGACUUGCCUAGUUAAAUGAAGGUAAAAAAAAAAAAAAUCUAUGGGUUCCUAUUCAUGCACAAAAUGCACAUCGUUCAUGCCUUGAUAUAGUUUUUACUUCUUGUAUAACUGCAUUGCAAUAAUAUAUCAUUUCCAUUUAAGUUUGGACAGUGGACUCUUUAUUUCAUAGCUGGAUUCACACAUCUGAAUUUGUGGUCACUGACAAAAUGUCAGUUGUAUUUUAUCAUUACAUUGUUUUCAUAUCCUGUACUAAAUGUAAAUUUGAUUUUUAUAAUGGAUAAAUAAAGUAUGUUUUGUAUAUUUCUUUUAAACAUUUAGAUUUGAAAGGGGAGGUGCUUUACAAGCCUCUUGUUUUUUAUGUCUCCUGCACAUGUGCAUUUAUUUAGUAUUUAAUUAUCAUAAUUUUGUCUUUUUCUUGUUUAAAUAAACAUUUAAUAAUGUAACGAAUGUACUUAACAUGGAAAAUAUGCUGUGGUCAAUCUUGAGAAAUAACCAUUAAAACACG
Oncorhynchus masou masou (cherry salmon) is the source of this 2058-nucleotide long non-coding RNA. RefSeq lists it as uncharacterized. Lineage: Eukaryota; Metazoa; Chordata; Actinopteri; Salmoniformes; Salmonidae. The record is from RefSeq and is a predicted model, not a curated record. The transcript has 6 exons.